RNAcentral lists this ribosomal RNA (253 nucleotides) under uncultured bacterium. RNAcentral's name for it is "partial 16S ribosomal RNA". It matches the Rfam family "Bacterial small subunit ribosomal RNA", at positions 524 to 776 of the family's 1533-position model. The record is from RNAcentral.
UACGUAGGGUGCGAGCGUUAAUCGGAAUUACUGGGCGUAAAGCGUGCGCAGGCGGCGCGUUAAGACAGGUGUGAAAGCCCCGAGCUUAACUUGGGAAUUGCGCUUGUGACUGGCGUGCUGGAGUGUGGCAGAGGGAGGUGGAAUUCCACGUGCAGCAGUGAAAUGCGUAGAGAUGUGGAGGAACACCGAUGGCGAAGGCAGCCUCCUGGGCCAGCACUGACGCUCAUGCACGAAAGCGUGGGGAGCAAACAGG